This 508-nucleotide ribosomal RNA is filed under the name uncultured organism. RNAcentral describes it as "bacterial SSU rRNA". It matches the Rfam family "Bacterial small subunit ribosomal RNA", at positions 53 to 586 of the family's 1533-position model. The record is from RNAcentral.
ACAUGCAAGUCGAGCGAGAACUUCGGUUCUAGCGGCAAACGGCGCAGUAAUACGUAAGCAACGUGCCCCUAAGACUGGGAUAGUCCGAGGAAACUCGGUUUAAUACCAGAUGUGGCCCUCUCAUCGCCUGAUGAGAGGAUUAAAGGACUUCGGUCGCUUAGGGAGCGGCUUACGACCUAUCAGGUCGUUGGUGGGGUAACGGCUCACCAAGCCUACGACGGGUAGCGGGUCUGAGAGGAUGAUCCGCGCGAGUGGGACUGAGACACGGCCCACACACCUACGGGUGGCAGCAGUUUGGAAUAUUGCACAAUGGGGGAAACCCUGAUGCAGCGACGCCGCGUGGGGGAUGAAGGAUUUCGGUCUGUAAACCCCUUUUGCCAGGAAAGACUUAGGACGGUACCUGGCGAAUAAGCCCCGGCUAACUACGUGCCAGCAGCCGCGGUAAUACGUAGGGGGCAAGCGUUGUCCGGAUUUACUGGGCGUAAAGGGCGCGCAGGCGGCCUGUUAA